UUUCUGUCACUGGCCCUGGGGAAAGCCAGCCACAACUAUAACCUCAUAAGGAUACUUCAGCAUCUCUGGGAGAGGCUCCUAGAGAGAGAAACUGAGGUCUCCUGUCAACAGCCAGCACUGACUGUGAGUGAUGCAGUAGAGCCCCAUCAUCUUGAUUUCCACAUCAUGAUAGAUCUUGAGUCAGGUCUCCCCAGCCAAGCCUAUGCAUCUUCUCGUCCCACAGAAAUUAUAAAAGAUAAAACAUGCUUAUCAUUGUUUUAAGCCACUAAAUUUUGUAGUAAGUUAUAGCAAAGCAAUAGAUAACAAUACACAUGGUAUGGUCUUCACAUGUCCGUAAGAUAGAUAGUAUUCCUCUGGUCAAUUUACAGAUGAAGCAAGAGGCAGAGAGAGGUUAAGUAGCACGUUUUAGGUCACACGGUGGAGAUGUGUAACCGAUAGAGAGGGGACUCAAGCACAACCAUUUGGCUCCCAAAGUUUAUUCUUAUAAUGCUAAUAUUGCACUACAUCACAUUUCCCUCUGAGCUCUCAAAUAUACUUUAUAUUUCAUUUAAUCCCUUUUUGCAUUAAAUACCUCUCUCCUGUAGACUUCCAACCUUCUGCUCCAAGAGGGCUUAGCUGGUACUCCUCUUUUCUCUUGCUUAGAUCUACUUUCCUGGGUCCCUACCAUCAUCUUUUGAGAAUAAAAUUUCCUCUUUUCCAACAUCAAGAAAAUAUUGAUUGUUAUUUUGCCUCAAAUACUGAUUUGUCAUUCUUGCCCAAAAUCCAAACCAUAAAUGGGGUACCUCAGAAAAGAUUUUAAAUGAAUUGCUGUCAAUCGGUGAUAGUGGCAUUUAUGUUCUCAGGCCUCCCAUGGUCAGCUAGCUAAUCGGUGGAUACUUCACUUCAGAUGUCUCUGAAGGUCAGCAUAACAAACUAACCUAACUCCACAUAACUCAGAGCCUACAUAAAUCCUACUCUUUGCUUUGUUCAAAGAUUGCAUAUUAUACCCACAAUUCUUCUGUCUUGCAAGUAAUAAAUUUGGUUUAUUUGCCUCACGUAUUUGUAAAGAGCGGUCUUUUCCUUUGAUUCUUUUUUCCAGCCUCUUGAUUUGCUGGAGAAAACCUUGAAAUAAGUUAGACUAUGUGGGAGAUAAACUUUGAGUCAUCAUAUGCCUGAAAAUUCCUUCUUCCUGACCAAUUUGAUUGAUUGUUUGCCUGGAAAUAGAAUUUGAAGUCACGUAUCACAUUCUUCCUCAAAUUUUGAAGGGAUUGCAUCAUUGUCUUCUGACAUCCAGUGAUUGCUGAUGACAACUCUCAUGCCAAUAUGAUUCAUAUUCCUUCAGAAGUGAUUUUCUUUUGCUCUCUAAAAAAUUUUUAAGACUCUUUUCUCUAUUUUGAUGUUCUGAAAUUUCAGAAUUUUUUAGAUACCAGUCAUCUUUAAUUUUUUAAUAACUGUGCUAGCUAUUUUGUGAUCCUUUGGAGUCUUAAGACUCACAACCUUUUGCUUUCAUAUAUGCCAUGCUUUUGCUCUUCUGUUUAUAUUCUAGUAAAUUUCCUAAACUUUAUUUUCCAGUCCUUCGGCUGAAAUUUUUAAUGUUAAUAAUGAUUAAUUUUAUGUGUCAACUUGGGUAAGCCACAAUACCCAGAUAUUUGGUCAAACCUAGUCUAGAUGUUGCUGGGAAAUUACUGUUUUGGGUGAAAUUAGCCUUUAAAUUAGUAGACUUGAAUAAAGAAGAUUGCUCAUUCAGUCAGUUGAAGGCCUUGAGAGAAAGAAGACUGAGACUCCCCAAGGAAAAGGAAAUUCUGUCCCCAGACUUUCUUUGGACUCAAGCUGUAACAGCCACUUUCUCCUGAGUCUCUAGGGUGAUGGACUUCACAGAAGAUUUUGGAUUAGCCAGCUCCACAACUGUGUGAGCCAGUUCCUUAGAAUAAAUCUUCCUCUCUUUCUUCACCCACUCCAUAUCUCCUCUCUUGGUAUUUUUCUUUUAUGUUGCAUUCCUCUAAUAUUUCUGUGAUACUUAGUUGUCCAUUUGUAUUUAUGAAGAGAAAAUGAAAUAAAUUGAUAUCUCACCAAUUUUGUAGAUAAAAUAAAAAAUAUGAGUGUAUUCCCCAAUAGUGCUUAGCUCCAGGGUAUAGACAGUGGCUCCUUCUCAGAGGCAA
Molecule: long non-coding RNA, 2138 nt
Filed under: Canis lupus familiaris (dog)
Lineage: Eukaryota; Metazoa; Chordata; Mammalia; Carnivora; Canidae
Description: lncRNA (ENSCAFG00000055023.1)
Source: RNAcentral